GGGGGAUAUUGCGCAAUGGGGGCAACCCUGACGCAGCAACGCCGCGUGAAGGAUGAAGGUUUUCGGAUUGUAAACUUCUUUUAUUAAGGACGAAAAUGACGGUACUUAAUGAAUAAGCUCCGGCUAACUACGUGCCAGCAGCCGCGGUAAUACGUAGGGAGCAAGCGUUGUCCGGAUUUACUGGGUGUAAAGGGUGCGUAGGCGGCUUUACAAGUCAGAUGUGAAAUCUAUGGGCUCAACCCAUAAACUGCAUUUGAAACUGUAGAGCUUGAGUGAAGUAGAGGCAGGCGGAAUUCCCCGUGUAGCGGUGAAAUGCGUAGAGAUGGGGAGGAACACCAGUGGCGAAGGCGGCCUGCUGGGCUUUAACUGACGCUGAGGCACGAAAGCGUGGGUAGCAAACAGGAUUAGAUACCCUGGUAGUCCACGCUGUAAACGAUGAUUACUAGGUGUGGGGGGUCUGACCCCUUCCGUGCCGGAGUUAACACAAUAAGUAAUCCACCUGGGGAGUACGGCCGCAAGGUUGAAACUCAAAGGAAUUGACGGGGGCCCGCACAAGCAGUGGAGUAUGUGGUUUAAUUCGAAGCAACGCGAAGAACCUUACCAGGUCUUGACAUCCAACUAACGAAGUAGAGAUACAUUAGGUGCCCUUCGGGGAAAGUUGAGACAGGUGGUGCAUGGUUGUCGUCAGCUCGUGUCGUGAGAUGUUGGGUUAAGUCCCGCAACGAGCGCAACCCUUGCUAUUAGUUGCUACGCAAGAGCACUCUAAUAGGACUGCCGUUGACAAAACGGAGGAAGGUGGGG
This 801-nucleotide ribosomal RNA is filed under the name uncultured bacterium. Its description in RNAcentral is "bacterial SSU rRNA". It matches the Rfam family "Bacterial small subunit ribosomal RNA", at positions 356 to 1178 of the family's 1533-position model. The record is from RNAcentral.